This 469-nucleotide ribosomal RNA is filed under the name uncultured Alphaproteobacteria bacterium. Its description in RNAcentral is "bacterial SSU rRNA". It matches the Rfam family "Bacterial small subunit ribosomal RNA", at positions 11 to 455 of the family's 1533-position model. The record is from RNAcentral. Lineage: Bacteria; Pseudomonadati; Pseudomonadota; Alphaproteobacteria.
GUUUGAUCCUGGCUCAGAGCGAACGCUGGCGGCAGGCCUAACACAUGCAAGUCGAGCGCCCCUCCUUCAAGCGAGCUUGGAGGAUUGCGAUCGAGCGAAACCGAAGGGCUCGCUUGAUGGAGGGGAGCGGCAGACGGGAGAGUAACACGUGGGAACGUACCCUUUGGUUCGGAACAACCCAGGGAAACUUGGGCUAAUACCGGAUAAGCCCUUACGGGGAAAGAUUUAUCGCCGAAGGAUCGGCCCGCGUCUGAUUAGCUAGUUGGUGGGGUAAUGGCCCACCAAGGCGACGAUCACUAACUGGUCUGAGAGGAUGAUCAGCCUCGCUGGGACUGAGACACGGCCCAGACUCCUACGGGAGGCAACAGUGGGGAAUAUUGGACAAUGGGCGCAAGCCUGAUCCAGCCAUGCCACGUGGGUGAUGAAGGCCCUACGGUUGUAAAGCCCUUUCGGCGGGGAAGAUAAUGAC